This is a long non-coding RNA of Phragmites australis (common reed), 6310 nucleotides long. RefSeq lists it as uncharacterized. The record is from RefSeq and is a predicted model, not a curated record. The transcript has 6 exons. Lineage: Eukaryota; Viridiplantae; Streptophyta; Magnoliopsida; Poales; Poaceae.
GCUUACUGCUCCAUAUGCGGACAUAAUGUAUCAGUGCGUUUGCUGAUGUACCUGAACAUUUCGCUGUCUUGCAUUAAACGUCCUUGUGUUUCUAGUUGUUUUUGUGGGCAGUUGGUACCUGUUUUAAGAAAACAUUCUUGGGAAACAGGUGGACAUAUAUUGUACAGUUGUCUGACUGUUAAUAAGGAACAAGUUAAUAUGAACAUACUAUCAUGCUUAGGUUAUUGUCUUCUUAAGGGCUUGUUUGGGCAUGUGGGAAUCAGGUCAAAUCCCUUCAGAUUGGCAUGGAAAUUAGUUCUUUUUCCUGCACCAAUCUGAAGUGAUUGGUUCCAAUCCAGUGUGCCAUACAAGCCCUUGGGAAAUUCCUCGUCGCUCCCGGAAAGUGGCAGUACCUACACACACAGUUCCAUUGCUAACUGUGGAGCCUUCAGGUUCAGAUUUGUGCAUUUUAGUUUUCAGAAGGGCACGGUCCAUGGUCCAUGGACAUCUUUUCUUUUUUGCAUUAUCAAACACGAAUUCUUAAAGAAGCAGCAGAGGGACAUGGGAAGGGGAAGAGCUACAAGCUCACACCAAACGGGCAGUGCUAUGACCCUUAAAUCGAUGGAACAGGGACCCAAUGGGCGCGGGCAAGACGCCUCGGUUCGGCAGUUUUGCGGUCUCUUCUCCUCUACGCAAACCGGGCCAAACCCGUCCUUCCCGGCCCCAUCGGUCGCGCGCGCACGCACACACCACGCGAGCGGGCGGAGACGGUGGACAUGGCGCCGGCCGCGGCAGGCGAUUCGCCCUCGUCGGAGGCGAAGGCGGAGCAUCAGCAUAAGCAGCUCAGGAUCGCCGUCAUCCACCCCGACCUCGGAAUCGGUGGUGCAGCGAGACUGAUAUAGUUCAUGUGGCAUGCAAGCUCACUUCCCAUGGACAUAAUGUUCAUGUUUUCACAUCAUGCCAUGACAAAACUGUGUUUUGAGGAGACUGUGUCUGGUCAAUUUCCAGUUUCUGUGUAUGGGGAUUUCUUACCUCGACAUAUCUGUUUUCAUGCUGUCUGUGCAUACCUCCGAUGCAUUUUUGUGGCACUAUGUGUGCUACUUUGGUGGCCUUCAUUUGACAUCAUAUUUGCAGUCCAGGUUUCUGUUCUGAUUUCACUGCUUAAACUGAAGGCCUAGCCCAAUGUACUGACUUAUAUUUUUUAGAACUUCUCUUUGGUUUAACCUCAGAAGUUAAGUAAAAAUUACUUUUGUGCAUCUGUUCAGAUUUUGUUCUAUUGCCAUUUCCCUGAUUUGUUUCUUGCAAGCACACUUCUAUUCUUCGGAAUUUAUAUCGCAAGCCCAUUGAUAUGAUUGAGGAAGCCACUACUGGUCUCGUCUUAUGUCACUAUAUUGCAAUCUGGUUCAUUUCCUGCUCAUAUAUGUAGACACCUUUGAUGCAUGCUAAAGGUGGCGGUUUUUAUUUUUUAUCAUAUCAGGUAUGCCGGAUUUGAUUCUAGUUAACAACAAGUUCACUGCAUCUACAUUUGCCAGGACCUUUAGUAGCCUUCAUGCCAGGGGAAUUGAGCCUGCUGUUCUAUACUCAGCAGUCUAUGUUGAGCAGUUUGAUGAACCCCAUGCUUAUAAGUAACUAGAAUACUCAUAUAUAUACUCAUAUUUCUAUAACCCAAAUUGACAUAAUAUAAUCUAUUCUCAUAUAAUUAUAGGAACGUCACUCUUGUCUAUUAUGUUAACCUACCAUGCCAUGUUCGUUGAUGCUAAAAUGUUAUUUAUUGACCAUUGUGCAGACUGAAUUUUCUAUCAAUCAACCUAUCGACGAUUUGUAAACCGCCGAUCUUAUAAAUACAUGAAUAAAGUAGGGGAUACUCCCUGUAGCCAAAUCAUACGUCAGAAUACAGAGAUUUAUACAGGUUCAUACCUCACAAAAGAUAAUAGCCUUAUGUCCCGUUGUCUUCUAUUGAUCUUCGAGACAGAUUAAAAGGGGGAGGGGAGGGUCUUGGCUAGCCUAGAUAGAUCUAAACCUAGUCGAGGGCUCAUCGCGUGUAGUCUCGGCGAGAUGUUGAUGUAGAUGCCGAGUACAGAGGGCUCAGGGCUCGUGGUGCGCUUGAGGGUUUUGUAUGCUUCGGCGAUGGGCUUAUGUCUUGUCUUCCACAGGGUCCCUUGUCUCCGUAUAUAUAUGAGGAUUGCCGUGUAGCAUCCAGACUCCUUUCCGAGUAGGAUUCGAUCAUCCUUAAACUUAGUGAUAAACUUAAUCAUUUAAGGGAUAUUCUGGAACACGUGAUACUUUGGAACGUCUAAAGACUUCUUUCCUAGAUACAAUCGUAUGCUCCGAGAAUCUAGGAAAUCCUAGGAGAUUCACAUACGUAUAGGACAGUCGUAUAUGGUAGUUUUAUACUACUUAUCGUCAAGUCCCCUAUCAAUACGUGAAAUGAGGUUGUGACGGAUCAAAAACUUAACAUAGUCAAAGGAAACAUUUUGACAUGUUGUUUCUUUUGAGUGAUAAUUAGGGUCCCCGGGUAGGAUGCACAUCUAACUAGGCAUCCGGAUGUCCUCGGAUCAUCUAGUUGGGGUUUUAGACUUCCCUGGGUAGCUCCGUGAGCUUCCGAGAAGGUACCUCGUAUGAGUAGGAAAUUUGAGUUAUCUGAGGGAUAUCGUCACGAAAAGGAUGGGGAUAAGUGGCUCUUUGCCUGUCGGUUUUUUGAAAUUUGAACCAUCAUGGCGGAAAUUUCACCUGGUGGUAAAAAAAACUUUUUCUGGCAAAAGAUCAUGAUGAUGUCUGGAAACUGCAGCACAUUCAUCGUGGUAGUGCGCCAGCUCUCCAGGUAUUUCGUACCAAUAGCCCCUUCAUGCGCCGGAAGAGAUCCCAAACAUAAAAUACGAUAGGACCCUGACACAGAAGAUCAUAGCUCUGAGUAGCACUCGGAACCGCAGCGAAGGAGAAAAAGAAGAAUAAACGCAAGGCCAAACCACCCGACGUCAUGACAGUCGAGCAGACCGGCCAACCACACCGACGCUUCGAGAAAACAGACGGAAGGAAGGGACGAGGCUGUUGCCUGAUACAUCGUACCGACGCCCACGAUCUGACCGAAUACAAUGUCUUACGGGGCAUCAUCAACAAGGAGCUUAGGGAGCGCAGGCCUAGCCGUAGCGACUAUAGUGAGGACGCGGCCGACCCUGACCAGUCGGCGCUGGGUUUCCAUGAGGCCGAUCACACGGUCCACCAUAUCUUCAGGGGCGCCGCAACGUAUUCCUCGAACAGGGAGUACAAGUCGGUGGUCCGUGGGGUGUGGACGACCACUCUAGGACCAAGCCUGCGCUUGAAGUGGUCGGAGGUACCCCUCACUUUCAGCCAGGCCGACCACCCCGCGCAGGUCAAACGCCUUGGUCGCUACCCCAUCAUGGUCGAACCAACGGUGCAGAACAUCCAUUUGGGACAAGUACUAGUCGAUGGAGGGAGCACCAUCAACCUCCUCUUCGCCGACACGCUGGACGCCCUGCAGAUUCCAAGGAGCGCGUUGAAACCCUCUCCCUCUCCUCCCUUCUUCGGAAUCACCACCGGCUCCUCAGCAAAACCGUUCGGGUGAAUUGAGUUUUCCAUCACCUUCGGCUCACCGAGUAACUUCAGGACUAAAGGUCCUGUUCGAUGUGGCAGAUUUCAGGACCACUGACAAUGCUAUCCUGGGUCGACCAACGACGACCCAAUUCAUAGCCGUCGCCCACUACGCUUACCAGGUCAUCAAGAUUCGUGGUCCGACGGGAGCCAUCAAUGUCUUCGGCAAUAUAAAGACGACCCUGUACUGCGACAAGAGUAGUCUCGACAUGGUCAGGCUAACUCCUGGGUCACACCCGAGAAUGUCGGGCACAGUGAUCGCCUGGUGAAGGUUCACAUCGUCGCUAGUCCAUACGGUCAGCUCAAAGCCGUUUGGCUCGACGAUUCUGACCCAUCCCAGGACGGUCCAGAUUGGGGCCAGUCUGGAUGCCAAAUAGGAAUUCACGCUCGUCACUUUCCUCCGGGCAGACGCGAACGUCUCUCUGUGGAAUCCGUCCGAUAUAUCUGGAAUCCCUAGAGACGUGAUCGAGCACUAAUUGUCAGUACGGCCUGACACGCGACCAAUAAAGCAAAAGACCCGUCGGUUUGCACCCAACCAAAAAGAAGCACUUCGAGAGUAUAAGGGCCUUUCUUUCCGAGCAGCUACUGGACCAUCCAUAGCACCACCUUUUAUUUCUUUUGACUGAUGAAGUUUUUUCACUCGAUGAAUGCAGCAAUAUCCUGAAGUUUGAGCUAAUUUCAUCCAUCUUCCGUCUGUCAUAAUAUAUCACUCUUCUGUACCUUGGCUAUACAGUUUUCUGUUGACAGCAGCUUCCGAAGUUGUACAAUUUUCAUGGUUCAUGAUAGGCAAUUUCUCAGCUCUUUGAGUGAACCAAAUCGCAAAGAGUUGGUUGAUGCACUGGGUUCAUCCUCCAAGCUAUGUUUUUUCUUGGUUUUCCCUACACAACCAAUUACUCCCAGAAUGGUGGAUUCGGUCUCCUGGGUGGCUGGGUCCUGCUUCCUGCAGCUAAGCAGCUUUGCUGUGGGUACCACAAUAGAUCUGCUGGCUUUUGGCCGUCAAGAGGGGCAGAAGGCUAGCUUGAUGAUACAUUUGUUUGAUCUUCGGUCUCAAAACAAAAGGUCAAUGGUCUGUACUGCAAAAGGGAGACUAACAGAAGUCCAAGAUUCCUUCCUCCUCCGGGUGGAUGGUCCCAGUUGAGUUGGACGUUUUGGUGGGAAGCGGACAAACCAAAGCAGGUGCUGUACGAGAAGGUGCCGCAAUAGCAAUUGGAAUUAUAGAGGACUUUGUAGCUUGGAAUAACAAAAGAACGGGAUUUUUUAUGUGAGAUCUGCCUAUCAUAUGGAGAGGUGGAACCAACAUGGCAAGAAAUUAAACAAGCGGAACUGCAUCAGCUAAUGAUAAUCCUGUUUGGAAAACCCUAUGGUAGCUGUGCGUGCUAACAAAGGUGAAGAUUCACUACCAGAGGGUUCUGGAUGGCACUCUCCCUUGCUACGGCGUGUUGGCGAAUCGUCACGUCCCGAUGUCGUCCAUGUGUCCGCUGUGCAAGACCUUAUGUGAGGAUAUCAUGCAUGUGUGCUUUGGUUGUGCACGGGUACGUGAAGUCUGGUAUAAUCUCAGGCUGCUGGAGAAAAUCAAGAGCGUUAUGAUGGUUGACAGGGCAGGCUCCACGACCCUGAAGAAAUGCUGCGUUUGCUGGAAGAAAAGUCGAUCUUGUUCCCACGUGUGGGGAUCAUGGUUCACAAAUGCAUCGGUAACCGCCCAAAAAUCGUGGUUACUAAACUUCUCGGUCCAGUUUCAGAAACCAAACGGUAACCAAAAUUUGAAUUCGAAAAAAUCAAAAAAAUCAAAAAAAAUCAAAAAAAUAUUUAAAAAAACUAGACAUAAUUCUAAGACCUUCUGUGAAUUUUUUUUUCAAAAAUAAUAUCGUUUGCAUUGUAUUCUAUAGGGAGGAAGUUUAAAAAAAAUAUAAAAAAAUUGAAGCGUGCGGCUAAGUUAUUAACUCAUGUUAAGGAAAAGUGUAACAUGCAAACACAUAUUUUUCUUAUGUAAAAUGUAUUUUAAAAGAAUCUUUAAAAUUGAUUUCACUUUAUUUAGAGUUUUAUUAAAUUCUCUAUGAUUUUUACAAAGUUCACAAGCAUAAAGUGAAUAUGUUAAGAAAUAACACUGUAAUUAACUUUUUCAUAUCUACUAUUAUUUUUCCUACGUAAAUCAUAAUAUAAAUAAGCUAAUAAAAAUGGUUUCACUAAUAUUUGAGGUGUGAUGGGUCAGUUAUGAAUUAAUCUAGUCGCAAUACAUUUACACAAUCAUGCAUGUUACAAUAACUAAUUCAUGAGUUUAUGUAUUUUUAAAAGACAUAGGAUCAUGUAAGAAGACUAACAAAAUUAGUUUCAUGAUUUUUGGAUUAGCAAAGAGUAAACUAUGUAUUUAACUUGGUUUAACAAAUACAAUUUCUCACAGAAAAUUAUGAACUUUUUUAUGAGUAUAAAUACUUUUAUCAUGUAGAUCAUGUCAUAAGGAAACCAACAAAAUUUGUUUCACUUGAUUUGAAGUUCAAAUGAAUUAGUUAUUUAUUAUAGAACAUUGAGAUAAUUUUUAGAUUUUUUUUUGAACUUCACUGAAAAUCGAGAAAACUGCUCGAUAAAUCGAGAAAACCGAGCGGUUACCGAAAAUGUGGAAAAUUCGAGAAAACCGCUCGAUAAAUCGCAAAAACCGCUCGGUAACCGGUUCAAACCGACCAGUUACCGAACGGCUAAAAUCGUGAUUUUUUUUCUUCCAAAUUUU